This 2910-nucleotide ribosomal RNA is filed under the name Bacillus anthracis str. SVA11. RNAcentral's name for it is "bacterial LSU rRNA". It matches the Rfam family "Bacterial large subunit ribosomal RNA". Lineage: Bacteria; Bacillati; Bacillota; Bacilli; Caryophanales; Bacillaceae. The record is from RNAcentral.
GGGCGCACGGUGGAUGCCUUGACACUAGGAGUCGAUGAAGGACGGGACUAACGCCGAUAUGCUUCGGGGAGCUGUAAGUAAGCUUUGAUCCGAAGAUUUCCGAAUGGGGAAACCCACCAUACGUAAUGGUAUGGUAUCCUUAUCUGAAUACAUAGGGUAAGGAAGACAGACCCAGGGAACUGAAACAUCUAAGUACCUGGAGGAAGAGAAAGCAAAUGCGAUUUCCUGAGUAGCGGCGAGCGAAACGGAACAUAGCCCAAACCAAGAGGCUUGCCUCUUGGGGUUGUAGGACAUUCUAUACGGAGUUACAAAGGAACGAGGUAGACGAAGCGACCUGGAAAGGUCCGUCGUAGAGGGUAACAACCCCGUAGUCGAAACUUCGUUCUCUCUUGAAUGUAUCCUGAGUACGGCGGAACACGUGAAAUUCCGUCGGAAUCUGGGAGGACCAUCUCCCAAGGCUAAAUACUCCCUAGUGAUCGAUAGUGAACCAGUACCGUGAGGGAAAGGUGAAAAGCACCCCGGAAGGGGAGUGAAAGAGAUCCUGAAACCGUGUGCCUACAAAUAGUCAGAGCCCGUUAAUGGGUGAUGGUGUGCCUUUUGUAGAAUGAACCGGCGAGUUACGAUCCCGUGCGAGGUUAAGCUGAAGAGGCGGAGCCGCAGCGAAAGCGAGUCUGAAUAGGGCGUUUAGUACGUGGUCGUAGACCCGAAACCAGGUGAUCUACCCAUGUCCAGGGUGAAGUUCAGGUAACACUGAAUGGAGGCCCGAACCCACGCACGUUGAAAAGUGCGGGGAUGAGGUGUGGGUAGCGGAGAAAUUCCAAUCGAACCUGGAGAUAGCUGGUUCUCCCCGAAAUAGCUUUAGGGCUAGCCUUAAGUGUAAGAGUCUUGGAGGUAGAGCACUGAUUGGACUAGGGGUCCUCAUCGGAUUACCGAAUUCAGUCAAACUCCGAAUGCCAAUGACUUAUCCUUAGGAGUCAGACUGCGAGUGAUAAGAUCCGUAGUCAAAAGGGAAACAGCCCAGACCGCCAGCUAAGGUCCCAAAGUGUGUAUUAAGUGGAAAAGGAUGUGGAGUUGCUUAGACAACUAGGAUGUUGGCUUAGAAGCAGCCACCAUUUAAAGAGUGCGUAAUAGCUCACUAGUCGAGUGACUCUGCGCCGAAAAUGUACCGGGGCUAAAUACACCACCGAAGCUGCGGAUUGAUACCAAUGGUAUCAGUGGUAGGGGAGCGUUCUAAGGACAGUGAAGUCAGACCGGAAGGACUGGUGGAGUGCUUAGAAGUGAGAAUGCCGGUAUGAGUAGCGAAAGACGGGUGAGAAUCCCGUCCACCGAAUGCCUAAGGUUUCCUGAGGAAGGCUCGUCCGCUCAGGGUUAGUCAGGACCUAAGCCGAGGCCGACAGGCGUAGGCGAUGGACAACAGGUUGAUAUUCCUGUACCACCUCUUUAUCGUUUGAGCAAUGGAGGGACGCAGAAGGAUAGAAGAAGCGUGCGAUUGGUUGUGCACGUCCAAGCAGUUAGGCUGAUAAGUAGGCAAAUCCGCUUAUCGUGAAGGCUGAGCUGUGAUGGGGAAGCUCCUUAUGGAGCGAAGUCUUUGAUUCCCCGCUGCCAAGAAAAGCUUCUAGCGAGAUAAAAGGUGCCUGUACCGCAAACCGACACAGGUAGGCGAGGAGAGAAUCCUAAGGUGUGCGAGAGAACUCUGGUUAAGGAACUCGGCAAAAUGACCCCGUAACUUCGGGAGAAGGGGUGCUUUCUUAACGGAAAGCCGCAGUGAAUAGGCCCAAGCGACUGUUUAGCAAAAACACAGCUCUCUGCGAAGCCGUAAGGCGAAGUAUAGGGGGUGACACCUGCCCGGUGCUGGAAGGUUAAGGAGAGGGGUUAGCGUAAGCGAAGCUCUGAACUGAAGCCCCAGUAAACGGCGGCCGUAACUAUAACGGUCCUAAGGUAGCGAAAUUCCUUGUCGGGUAAGUUCCGACCCGCACGAAAGGUGUAACGAUUUGGGCACUGUCUCAACCAGAGACUCGGUGAAAUUAUAGUACCUGUGAAGAUGCAGGUUACCCGCGACAGGACGGAAAGACCCCGUGGAGCUUUACUGUAGCCUGAUAUUGAAUUUUGGUACAGUUUGUACAGGAUAGGCGGGAGCCUUUGAAACCGGAGCGCUAGCUUCGGUGGAGGCGCUGGUGGGAUACCGCCCUGACUGUAUUGAAAUUCUAACCUACGGGUCUUAUCGACCCGGGAGACAGUGUCAGGUGGGCAGUUUGACUGGGGCGGUCGCCUCCUAAAGUGUAACGGAGGCGCCCAAAGGUUCCCUCAGAAUGGUUGGAAAUCAUUCGUAGAGUGCAAAGGCAUAAGGGAGCUUGACUGCGAGACCUACAAGUCGAGCAGGGACGAAAGUCGGGCUUAGUGAUCCGGUGGUUCCGCAUGGAAGGGCCAUCGCUCAACGGAUAAAAGCUACCCCGGGGAUAACAGGCUUAUCUCCCCCAAGAGUCCACAUCGACGGGGAGGUUUGGCACCUCGAUGUCGGCUCAUCGCAUCCUGGGGCUGUAGUCGGUCCCAAGGGUUGGGCUGUUCGCCCAUUAAAGCGGUACGCGAGCUGGGUUCAGAACGUCGUGAGACAGUUCGGUCCCUAUCCGUCGUGGGCGUAGGAAAUUUGAGAGGAGCUGUCCUUAGUACGAGAGGACCGGGAUGGACGCACCGCUGGUGUACCAGUUGUUCUGCCAAGGGCAUAGCUGGGUAGCUAUGUGCGGAAGGGAUAAGUGCUGAAAGCAUCUAAGCAUGAAGCCCCCUUCAAACGAUGAGAUUUCCCAUAGCGUAAGCUAGUAAGAUCCCUGAAAGAUGAUCAGGUUGAUAGGUUCGAGGUGGAAGCAUGGUGACAUGUGGAGCUGACGAAUACUAAUAGAUCGAGGACUUAACCAU